RNAcentral lists this transfer RNA (71 nucleotides) under Strigamia maritima. It matches the Rfam family "tRNA". From Rfam's summary of the family: Transfer RNA (tRNA) molecules are approximately 80 nucleotides in length. Their secondary structure includes four short double-helical elements and three loops (D, anti-codon, and T loops). Further hydrogen bonds mediate the characteristic L-shaped molecular structure. tRNAs have two regions of fundamental functional importance: the anti-codon, which is responsible for specific mRNA codon recognition, and the 3' end, to which the tRNAs corresponding amino acid is attached (by aminoacyl-tRNA synthetases). tRNAs cope with the degeneracy of the genetic code in two manners: having more than one tRNA (with a specific anti-codon) for a particular amino acid; and 'wobble' base-pairing, i.e. permitting non-standard base-pairing at the 3rd anti-codon position. The record is from Rfam by way of RNAcentral. Lineage: Eukaryota; Metazoa; Arthropoda; Chilopoda; Geophilomorpha; Linotaeniidae.
UCCCAGUUAGCUUAAUGGUAAAGCACCCAACCGGCAAUUGGGGGAUCUGGGUUCAAGUCCCAGUCUUGGUU